RNAcentral lists this ribosomal RNA (253 nucleotides) under uncultured bacterium. RNAcentral describes it as "partial 16S ribosomal RNA". It matches the Rfam family "Bacterial small subunit ribosomal RNA", at positions 524 to 776 of the family's 1533-position model. The record is from RNAcentral.
UACGUAGGGGGCAAGCGUUGUCCGGAUUUAUUGGGCGUAAAGAGCGUGUAGGCGGCCGUACAGGUCAGCUGUGAAAACUCGAGGCUCAACCUCGAGACGUCGGUUGAAACCGUACGGCUAGAGUCCGGAAGAGGAGAGUGGAAUUCCCGGUGUAGCGGUGAAAUGCGCAGAUAUCGGGAAGAACACCGGUGGCGAAGGCGGUUCUCUGGGCCUUACCUGACGCUGAGGAGCGAAAGCGUGGGGAGCGAACAGG